Molecule: long non-coding RNA, 1964 nt
Organism: Frieseomelitta varia
Lineage: Eukaryota; Metazoa; Arthropoda; Insecta; Hymenoptera; Apidae
Exons: 2
Source: RefSeq, a predicted model, not a curated record
UUGUUUUUAAAACUCGUGCAGUUGAGGAGUACCACCGAAAUGAAUGAUUCCGAUCAGGGAGAAUGGAAACAAUUUUGGCAGAUCGUGUACAAUGUAACUCUUGCCGUGAUGAUUCUUCAGUUUAAUGUCAUAAAUCUCUGAAAAAGAUCAGGUACAUUGUCAUCAGCAGUCGUUAAUGUCGCUUGAGAGCAAGUACGAAUAUUUACGUUGCAAAUUAAAAAUGCAACUAACGGAGUUAAUUAACGCCAUACGUGGAGUUAAUUAACGUCUUACGUAUUUACGUGAAUAUCUAAAAAUAUGUGAUCAUACAUCUACAUAUAUAAAUGAAUAUAUUCGUUGAAACUUUUGUAAAUUUCUAGCAGAGCGAAGGGAAAACGGCGUUUAUGUUUAUUUUUGUCGCCGUCAAAAGUGAAAGUAAUCGAAGUUUAGUGGCGCGAUCUACUGUUUAUUUCUCAGACUUAACACAAUUGCUUCUGAGAACAGGUGGUUUCUCUCGGAUUAUUCAGUUACCGUUCUACUUACGAUUAAGCUUCUACUUAGGUAAAUUCGAUUUCACGACUUAAGUGUAAGCUUUUUACAAUAACACGUAACAACAGUUUAAACGAUUAAUUACAAAAUGUAAUAAAGUAGUAAAGUAAUUAAGAGAGAGAGAGAACAAAUUGAACCAAUAAAAACUAACGACAUUGAAUUAACCGUAACGAAGGAAAGCCAGUAUUACAUGAACUUCAUUCCAUUGUCAUUCUACUAAUAAGAUGGUAUUUCAGUGCAUUUAUUAAUUGGAGUGUUUUCUAUACGAAUCUACGAACCAACGAUGUAUCUGCAAUUUUCAUUAAAAAUAUGAGUGGAAACGCCGAGUGGUAAUAAUUAACGUUAAUACACCUGGUACGACACGGUCAUUGAGUAGCCAUCGCAAUGAAGAAGGCUGCGAAAACGAUUUCCUCGACUUGAUCGUCGUGAAACAAAUUGGGGGCUAAGGUCAAACCUCGUGUGUGUGACCUUAGUGCGUGGUGGCAGGCUCGUGUAUGCGAUUCACAGCACUACACUAUUGGCAGUUACCUUCUCUCUCUCCUUUCGUCACUUUGAAGAUGAGUCGCGCGCAUGCACAUAAUGUGAGUCACACAUGACGACCGAUCUGAAUUAAUCACAUCCUGCCCACUGUGUCAUGUGACAUUAAUGUCAUUGCCGUGUGUCGUCCGACUGAGAGAGGAUCGGGUAAAAUAAACGAAAAGAAUCGCCUCGAACGCCUGGCCCUUCUGUUAAUUGAAUUUCUUUUGUAGACAGGUCCACGAUACGGCAUCUCGAAAUGGACCUGAAUGGAUCAGUUGAUAAUUCAAAGUUGGAGGAGAUAACCUACCGUUUCUAAUUAUUACUGUUAAUCAGUAAAGGACAAAGAAGAAAAAAUAAUUAUUACUGUUAAUGAUAGAGUCAAGUAUGAAGUCUCAUAUUUAAAAAGAGAGCUGUUUGAGUUGCAUGUCUUUUUGUCUUUUAAUGAAAUUCAGCAUACGCUUGGAUUUUUAAGAUAACUUUAAUUCAAAGCUUCAGCUUAAAAUAAUUUUAUGUUAUAUGUUAUGUCAUAUUUGACGACAUUAUUACAGCUCUUUUGUAAUUUCCCUUGAAGUCGAUGAAUUGUUUUGAAAAUUUUUCAUCAAUCAUCACACAGUGUAUGAGGCGGAUUUUAACUUGAAUUUAACUUAAGCUAGGAAUAAGAUAUAUUGAAUUUAACUUAAGCUAGGAAUAAGAUACAUUGUAUCUAGCCUUGGUGUAUAAUAUUAUAUACAUCGCAUUGCAAAUUUGACUCUACGUAAUUGUAAAAUCUUCUUUGGACUCUGUAUCAUAUAUUAGAUGCGAGAAUGUUUAUAAAUUAAUUCGGAAUGACGAAAAUUAUGCAUUAGUUUGCGAUAUUGAUGCAGUCCAAUAAUGUAAUAUGAAAUAAUUAUUGAUUAAACAAAUAUUUAUAUCGAAAA